Molecule: long non-coding RNA, 1204 nt
Organism: Pipistrellus kuhlii (Kuhl's pipistrelle)
Lineage: Eukaryota; Metazoa; Chordata; Mammalia; Chiroptera; Vespertilionidae
Exons: 3
Source: RefSeq, a predicted model, not a curated record
GCAACAAAGGGCCUUGUUCUCGCUACAGCAGUGUCCCGCCUUUGUCUGAUCCAGCCCGGUGCGUCACUCUCUGUAAACAACAGCAACGUGUCCACCCAGCUGCCGGUCCCUGCCCCCACGAGAGCUCCAAGGGGAGCUGAGGCCUCUCCGACGGGAGCCGUGCUAGGAGAGCAGCGGACAGGAAACCUCUCCUCACCAGUGUUCAGCCAUGUGUGUGGGUCCUGAUAAUCCAAGUCAAUCUGAACUACAGCUCCAUGGCCCUGGUGGUUGGUUCAGGGAUGGAUCCCUGUGCCACUGCCACCUCUCCUGACACCAACCCCAGCUCUCAGCAGGUUAGGGCUGAGCCUCCCUCUCCAGUGUCCUUGUUCGUAAAGUAGAAUGCAAGGUGAUCCCUGAUCUCCAUCUGUUGUCAGAGAGCUGCCUUUCCAAGAUCCUUUUGGUGUCUGACUACAUAGGAGAAGAGGGAGAAUACAAGAAAGAAGAAACACUCCAGGGACACAAAGAGGACUGAAAGGUGUCAAGAGCCUCUUUAAGUAGAAAUGUUUAAAGUGAAGGAGACUAGGAAAUGGCAAGAAUACUUGAAGUCUUCCCAAAGACUAAACAGUUUAUAAAGGUACCACAAACAUCCUUGAAAUGUUAUUGCAUUUUGUUAACACUGUCCCAAAAGUGCAGUAUAGCAGUAGGUAAAUUCAACCAACAGAAGAAAACUUAGGAGUGAAGAAAAGACAAGACCUUGUACUUUCACUCACUCACUUUGUGUGUGGACAUUAGCAUGCCUUUUGGAGAGCUAGGAGCAGAGGGCUGUGUGUCCAUCUCCUUUAUGGCCGUCACACUGAGCAUUGUGAGGUUACAUAUUUGAGUUUGACCCUAUCAAUUUGAUUCCACCAACAAAGCCUUUAUCAUUUCUCAAUGAAUCAAUAUUUCUAUUAAUAUUUGUGUUUAAAACUGUUAAAUAAUUAGGCCCUAUACAAAAACCACACAGCAAAACCCUGCACUCUAUUUGAACUAAAACUCACUAAAAUAGUUAAUAGUUUUUGUCAUAGAAUUUGGAGAACUGUGAAAAUGUGAGGUUUCUUCUGGUUGUUUAUAAAAUUCAAUGUUUUAAAAUUUAAAAAAUAAUUGAUUUAGAGAGAGAGUGAGGAAGGGAGAGGGACAGAGAGAAACACCAAUGUGAGAGUGAAACAUUAAUCAGCUGCCUCCUACA